UGAUAUUUUGUCCGCUCAGACUGUUGCGUGGUUUUGGACACUAUGCGUGUGUCGUUUUUUUUUUGGUGUGCACAGUAUUAGACACUGUUGCUUAUUUUGAUGCGGAAUGUAAUGAAAUCCAUUUGUGAAGUGUGAAAGUAAUGUGCCAAUGAAUAUUUGAAUUAUACAUUUUGUAAACUGUAUAUAAUGUACAUAGUUUCCUG
This 203-nucleotide long non-coding RNA is filed under the name Mytilus galloprovincialis (Mediterranean mussel). Lineage: Eukaryota; Metazoa; Mollusca; Bivalvia; Mytilida; Mytilidae. The record is from RNAcentral.